UACGUAGGGUGCGAGCGUUGUCCGGAAUUAUUGGGCGUAAAGAGCUCGUAGGCGGUGUGUCACGUCGGCCGUGAAAACCUGGGGCUUAACUCUGGGCGUGCGGUCGAUACGGGCAUCACUAGAGUUCUGCAGGGGAGACUGGAAUUCCUGGUGUAGCGGUGAAAUGCGCAGAUAUCAGGAGGAACACCGGUGGCGAAGGCGGGUCUCUGGGCCGAUACUGACGCUGAGGAGCGAAAGCAUGGGUAGCGAACAGG
Molecule: ribosomal RNA, 254 nt
Filed under: uncultured bacterium
Lineage: Bacteria
Description: partial 16S ribosomal RNA
Rfam family: Bacterial small subunit ribosomal RNA
Source: RNAcentral